GAUGAACGCUGGCGGCGUGCCUAAUACAUGCAAGUCGAGCGAACAGACGAGGAGCUUGCUCCUCUGACGUUAGCGGCGGACGGGUGAGUAACACGUGGAUAACCUACCUAUAAGACUGGGAUAACUUCGGGAAACCGGAGCUAAUACCGGAUAAUAUAUUGAACCGCAUGGUUCAAUAGUGAAAGACGGUUUUGCUGUCACUUAUAGAUGGAUCCGCGCCGCAUUAGUUAGUUGGUAAGGUAACGGCUUACCAAGGCAACGAUGCGUAGCCGACCUGAGAGGGUGAUCGGCCACACUGGAACUGAGACACGGUCCAGACUCCUACGGGAGGCAGCAGUAGGGAAUCUUCCGCAAUGGGCGAAAGCUUGACGGAGCAACGCCGCGUGAGUGAUGAAGGUCUUCGGAUCGUAAAACUCUGUCAUUAGGGAAGAACAAAUGUGUAAGUAACUAUGCACGUCUUGACGGUACCUAAUCAGAAAGCCACGGCUAACUACGUG
RNAcentral lists this ribosomal RNA (497 nucleotides) under uncultured bacterium. RNAcentral's name for it is "partial 16S ribosomal RNA". It matches the Rfam family "Bacterial small subunit ribosomal RNA", at positions 28 to 507 of the family's 1533-position model. The record is from RNAcentral.